Long non-coding RNA from Myotis myotis, 502 nucleotides. RefSeq lists it as uncharacterized. The record is from RefSeq and is a predicted model, not a curated record. Lineage: Eukaryota; Metazoa; Chordata; Mammalia; Chiroptera; Vespertilionidae. The transcript has 7 exons.
GUUUAAUUUUCAGGGCAGAACACAAAAGUCCAUUUUACUCACAAGUCCUGUUGAUUAUCAUCCUGGCCAUGGAAUCAGUUUUUACAGUUGAAAAGUGCUUUGCAAGAGUUGGAGAAAAGAUCAAUACCCAACUGUGGCCCAAGUGAGGGGAGUAGAAUGGAGUAAUUGCAGCUGAAGGUUAACUUUGGACACAUUUCCUGGUGGAAGGUUCCCCGUUACUUUAUCAUGGCCAGAAGCAGAUGUCUCAAAUAACUGGUGUUUAAAAGGUUCCUCCAGUGCUCACGGAGAAUGGGUGAACUUACCUGGUACACAAGAUCCAAGAGAAUCGAGCCACACGGACCUCAUAAUGGAAAGACGAUAUUCUUAUUUCUUUGUGGAAAAGAGAGAAAGAAGAAUACAACUGUAUUACAUGCUUUGUGGCUCACAUAAAAAUGUCAAUUUCAAUCAAGAAGAGAAGUAUUCAAGAUCCUGAGGACAGAGGGAGGUAGCGACUGUAAACAGU